Molecule: ribosomal RNA, 371 nt
Filed under: uncultured organism
Description: bacterial SSU rRNA
Rfam family: Bacterial small subunit ribosomal RNA
Source: RNAcentral
CAGAGGGUGCGAGCGUUAAUCGGAAUUACUGGGCGUAAAGCGUGCGUAGACGGUUAUUUAAGUCGGAUGUGAAAGCCCCGGGCUCAACCUGGGAAUUGCAUUCGAGACUGAAUAGCUAGGGUGCGGUAGAGGGAAGCGGAAUUUCCGGUGUAGCGGUGAAAUGCGUAGAUAUCGGAAGGAACAUCAGUGGCGAAAGCGGCUUCCUGGACCAGCACCGACGUUCAGGCACGAAAGCGUGGGGAGCAAACAGGAUUAGAUACCCUGGUAGUCCACGCCAUAAACGAUGAGGACUAGACGUUGGAGGGGUAAGCCUUUCAGUGUCGUAGCUAACGCGCUAAGUCCUCCGCCUGGGGAGUACGGCCGCAUGGUUG